This is a long non-coding RNA of Herpailurus yagouaroundi (jaguarundi), 1133 nucleotides long. RefSeq lists it as uncharacterized. The transcript is spliced from 3 exons. Lineage: Eukaryota; Metazoa; Chordata; Mammalia; Carnivora; Felidae. The record is from RefSeq and is a predicted model, not a curated record.
ACUCCUUCCCCAGGUGUGACGGGGCUUGGUGUUCUCGGCAGCAUAGCACAUUCAUACAUGGUAAGAGUUGCGUAAUGGCUUCCAUACCUUUACAGUGUUGUGUGCCUCCAUGGGGUCUCUGGUCUGGCAUAUGGGACAAAAGGCCCUACUGGUUGACCAUUUGAGUGUAUUAAGACUGGGACAGAACCUUAAUCCACCUGACCAUCGUUAGUAAUUUGAUCUUCUUUUAAUAUUCCAUUGUUUCUCUCUACCAACCCUGCCGCCUGUGUGUCAUAGGGGAGACAGAACCGCUGUUCAAUGUCAGGUUCUAUUGCCCAGUCUUCCAAGUCACGACUUUUGAAAUGUGACCCCCAAUGGCUGUCUAGUUGAUGAGGGUAUCUACCCAUGGUCGUUAGUUUUUCUCCCCUAAGGGCGGCAGCUUGGUUGGCAUGGCUCCAGGGGAAAGCUUGGCUUAGGCCACGCGCAGUGUCCACACAAGCCAAGGCAUCUUCGGAGCCCUCCCGCAGAAGGAGGGGGCCCAUAUAACCAGUUUGUUGAUCCCUCAUCAGCUGGGAACUCUGCUGGAUGGCCCCAGAUUAUUUUGGUAGUUGCCUUGGGCAUUAUUGAAAACAGGCGGGACGUGCUUCUACUGCAUUAACCAUGUCACAGAACUUCAAGGGCAACCUGACAUCCUUGCCAACACGCCACCUUACCGGGCCAUGUGGUGGCCACUCCUUCUGUGCACCCAAUCUGCUGCAUCUACUGAAGAGUCAGCAGAUGGGGUUCUUACCGAGUUAGGGCAUCAGCUUCCUAAUUGCCAGGGGAUGUCAACGCCUCAUGAGCUGAGACAUGGGGAACAGUGAGGACUGCCUCAGGCUCUUGCAGAUGCCCCCAGAUGUCUUUCUACGUAGCCUGACCCCAUAGGCUCAUUCACGGUCAUCCAUCCUGUGCACUGUCAGAGCCAUCAGUGCAAAGAGUGGAUGGCCAGGGCUCAUGAUAAUCACCAGCCAGGCCGCUCUGAGCCCAGCCUACUGGCUGCUGCUGUGCAGCCUUGCCAGAUCCUCGUUCUCUUCCCUCAGUCGCCUCUUCUCUUCCUCCAGAGCUGACUUGUCCCGGAGGAGGUUGCUGUAGGAAGCCUCCAGCUCCCUGUUUUG